RNAcentral lists this long non-coding RNA (795 nucleotides) under Gallus gallus (chicken). The record is from RNAcentral. Lineage: Eukaryota; Metazoa; Chordata; Aves; Galliformes; Phasianidae.
GGAGCAGAUGGGAGUAGGACAUCCCUUCCUGGCCCAGCAGGGACGACCUGCCCUCCAAGACUCAGGGGACCCGUGGGCCUGUGCUGUUGAUCUGGAACUUUCUGCAGGACCUUCUGGAGGUGCCUCCAGCCCAGCACUGGAUGUGAAGCAGUGUUUUCCUGAAAGCUGGACUAUGAGGAUGCUGAAAAGUCUGAUGAGAUUAAUUUUUGAGAAGGGGAGUGAGGAGAGGUGUGUUUGGUUCGAAGAGAUAGUCAUCUUCCAGAAGAUUUUGAGGUCUGAUUUCUGUGCUGAAAAUGUAGCUGAAGGCAAUGGCUAAGCCUGCCUAUGAUGUGAAACCACAAGAAAGCAGUCGUGUAACUGCAAAACUAAGGAAAGCCAGAAAGCUAGAAGCGGUGCCCUAUGGCUGCUGGCCCCGAGGAACUGGCUGCUAAUAGUUGAACAUCAAGGGAAUUUAAAUCCUGUGGUGAAACUGUCCUUGAACAGCUCUGCAGGAAAUACAGAGAUAAAGCAGGAACAGACAGAUGAGCCUUGGCUUUCACAGCAUGCAUACGAUUUAUCAGGCACUGCGUUCUUUCCCCAAGGGAAGGUCAGCACAGCCAUGCUGUUUCUCUGCUGUGCAGUUGCCUAAGGGAGAAUACACACUUUGGCUUUCUGGAAGUGCGUGUGGAUUCACCUGAACACAGUUCUGAAAGAAGAAACGAUCAUCUGGAUGCAGUGAACUCAUGCUCAUAACAACUGAGUGGAAAUUCGCUUAUGCUAUUGAGUAUCAUGGAACACUGCACCAGACAACACAGG